Long non-coding RNA from Cydia pomonella (codling moth), 1489 nucleotides. RefSeq lists it as uncharacterized. The record is from RefSeq and is a predicted model, not a curated record. NCBI's taxonomy places the organism in Eukaryota, Metazoa, Arthropoda, Insecta, Lepidoptera, Tortricidae. The transcript is spliced from 2 exons.
CGGUUAUCGGAGUGAAUGUAAACAGCUCGCGUCCCCCGCCCAAGCUACUCUUGCUGGUCAAGUAUUUAGGACAUGCGACUUGCGUCAGUGCCCGUCAUUGAUGUGACGUGCUUGCUUGGCCGAGGAAUGCUUAUUCAAAAGUUCAUAGUUAAACCCUUCCAUUGUAUCAUCAUAAACCUACUCUGACUGGGGGUAAAAAGAGUUGAUAAAAAAAUAUAUUUAUACAUCUCAAUAUACGCAAUAAUUUAAUCGGCUGAGAAUUAGUAAACAAAACUGGUUUUUUUCUCAGUUUUCAUGGGUCAUUCUAUUAAUUUAUAAUAUGUCAUAUCUACGUAAGGCCUGUACCGUAAAGUUUGUUACAACUUCUGCAAAUGAGAAAGUAUAAGUUACAAAAAGAGUUAUUAUUUUCUGCUUUUGUGGCUCACUUUGUUACAUUUUGGGCCCUACACUGAUAUACCUAAUAUUUAUGUUAUAACUGAAAAACAUUAAAAUAGAGAAUCAUAAAAGAAUGCGGAGAGCAACUUCAGUAGAAUCCAAAAAGGAAGAGACAAAGACAUACUAAGCGGAUGUCAUAUAAAGCAUAGUUGUACAACUUCUUAUUUUUGUGAAGUUUUCGAAAUUAAUCUCAAAUUCGUUUGUGAGAGAUAAGUUUUAUUAAGCUUGUGACAAUUAUCAACUAGUCAUUGAGACUCAAAACUAAAACAACUUACACGCCGCGAACGCACCAAACGUCCUCGCAGGGAAAGACGUGGUGACAGCCACGAAAAGCAGUGAAUGUGUCAUAUUAAGCGAUUUGUCACUAUAAGCGAAGUCAUCUUAUCCGACUUUGUUACAAAUAUUUUUUUAUAAAAACCAAACUUCGCACAGUAAUUACGUCAUAGUAAGCGGUUGGUCAGUAUAAGCGGAGUCAUAUUAAUAAACGGAUCCCACUGUAUUUUGCAUCCAAUGCAAUUCAAACCGCUAGCAAUUUCUAAGUUUUGCUAUAAAAUUAUACUAUUUUAGAUUUUUUAUUCUAGACAUAUAUGUUUAUUUCUUCUGUGUAGAAUUGAUCACUUGAAAUUUUAUAACAUAUUAUUUUAUUUUAUAAAAACUGAAUUCGGCUCUAAUUGCAAGGAAAAGGUUUCCUCCUAACCAUAUAUAAAGGAACUAUUAUAUUGUCUGACCGAGUAUUUUAAGGGUUUGUAAUUUUUUAUAGAUGUUAAAGUAUUGAUUCACCUUACUCUUUGAAUCAUAGACUUACAUCUCGCAUCAAUAACUUCCAAUUUAUCUUAAUAGACUUAUUCUUUUAUUUCACAGACACUUCUAACAUCCACUUCAAGCUUCAUUUUGAAUUAUAUACUGCUCAAGCUAUAUAUUGGCAAUAUAUUUAACUGUGGUUCAACUUUCACUACCUUUCUUAUAGACGUAAAAGUUGAGUUAUGAUUUUCAAGAAAAUUUGGGUUAUUCCCACUAGUUACCACCAAGUUGUUACCAGUGGUAACUACUGGGA